RNAcentral lists this non-coding RNA (172 nucleotides) under Shewanella benthica KT99. RNAcentral's name for it is "partial 23S ribosomal RNA". It matches the Rfam family "Bacterial large subunit ribosomal RNA", at positions 2758 to 2925 of the family's 2925-position model. The record is from RNAcentral. Lineage: Bacteria; Pseudomonadati; Pseudomonadota; Gammaproteobacteria; Alteromonadales; Shewanellaceae.
GAAUCGAUAACCGCUGAAAGCAUCUAAGCGGGAAGCGAGUCUAAGAUGAGUCAUCCCUAGGGAUUUAAUUCCUCUAAAGAGCCGUUCGAGACUAGGACGUUGAUAGGCAGGGUGUGUAAGUGCUGUGAGGCAUUGAGCUAACCUGUACUAAUGACUCGUGAGGCUUAACCAU